RNAcentral lists this long non-coding RNA (238 nucleotides) under Elaeis guineensis (African oil palm). Its description in RNAcentral is "long non-coding RNA (EGUI_LNC080833)". Lineage: Eukaryota; Viridiplantae; Streptophyta; Magnoliopsida; Arecales; Arecaceae. The record is from RNAcentral.
CAACGGACGAACUCCCACUGCACCACCCCAAACUCUUUCAACAUGAGUUCCCCCAGUCAUCUAUCGAGCCGCCCCGAGCGCUUACUAAGCUCUGCCGCCAGCCGACCUCCUACGGCCAUCGGCUGCUCCCCAAAUCCCUUCCAGACUUCUUCCAGCCAGGUUCAACUCCAACUCGAACUGCCUCGGACCUCACCAACAGCCGAACUUCACCAAUGGCAGAUUUCUACAACUACCGAAC